AUCACUCCACCUCUCUAAGCUUUAAACUUGUUAGACAUGGAACCCAAGUUCACAGUGAAUUGUGACCGAAAUGAGUUGCUCAAAACCAGAACUGGUACUCAUUUGCCAGAGAGCCCAAGAGUACCAAUGGAGUUUCUGUCAAGAUCAUGGAGUGCUUCUGCUCUUGAUGUCUCCAAAGCCCUUGCACCUCCACUACCACCUUCUUCUUACAUACCUUCCAAGCCUCCUAUUAUACCCUCUUCUAUCACCAACUCCAUUUCCGAAGAAACUUGUUCUGCUAAGUCGGAGGAGUUCUCUUUUGCUUCCUCCGCCACUUCACAGCUCGUCCUUGACCGCAUUAUGUCACAGUCAACUAGAGAGGAUGUAUCUCCAUUAACGUCUGGGAGACUGUCUCACAGCAGUGAACCUUUGAACGGUGGUGCUUCGUUAACUGGAACGGACAGUCCACCAAUCUCUCCUUCUGACGAGUUUGACGAUGUUGUCAAGUUUUUUCGGGCAAACAACUCCAUUCAUCCCUUAUUCAAUGGUGGACGAGCCAUGAGUGGUGCUACAGGCAAUGCCACUCCUUGCUCCGGACCUAAAACAGUAGGAAGAUGGUUGAAAGACAGAAGAGAAAAGAAGAAAGAAGAAAACAGAACCCAUAAUGCUCAACUUCAUGCUUCAGUUUCUGUUGCUGCCGUAGCAGCUGCAGUUGCAGCUGUCACUGCCGCAACGGCAGCCACAUCUGCAGCUACCAAGGAUGAGAAGAUGGCCAUGUCCGUUGCUUCUGCGGCCACUUUAGUUGCUGCUCAGUGUGUAGAGGCCGCUGAAGCAAUGGGAGCUGAGAGAGAUCACCUUGCUUCUGUGGUUAGCUCUGCCGUCAAUGUCCGCUCUCAUGAUGAUAUUUCAACACUUACAGCUGCAGCUGCCACAGCUCUACGUGGGGCAGCAACCCUGAAAGCAAGAGCAUUGAAGGAGGUAUGGAAUAUUAACGCAGUGACUCCAUUAGAGAGAGGAGCAGGUAUAGGAAUAUGUGGUAAAAGCAACAACAGUAAUUCUAGCACCAGUGACAGUGGGGAGAUUAUGAAUGGUGACAAUUUUUUGGGUGCAUGCAACCAAGAGCUCCUUGCUAGAGGCACUGCAUUACUUAAACGGACACGCAAAGGUGAUCUUCACUGGAAAAUAGUUUCAGUUUAUAUACAUCGAACAGGCGAGGUAAUGCUGAAAAUGAAGAGCAGACACGUUGCAGGAACUAUCACCAAAAAGAAAAAGAAUGUUGUUUUGGAUGUGUGCACAAAUUUAGCAGCAUGGCCAGGAAGGCAUCUGGUUGAUGAGGGUGAAGAAAGGAGGUAUUUUGGAUUGAAGACAGAAGCAAGGGGAGUCGUGGAGUUUGAAUGCAGAAAUCAAAGAGAAUAUGAUAUUUGGACUCAAGGGGUUUCUAGACUUCUUUCCAUAGUUGCACGCAGACAAAACCUAAAUGGGGUUUGAGCUGAACACAUUGGCAACAGGCUCUGUUUCUACUGAUUCAUUGUUCAAUCUAAUAUAUCAAGUCUCUUUGUUGCUUGCAUUCAUGGAUAGUGUUUCAUUUUCUUUUAAAUUUUCUUUGGAGAGGACAUUGUCAUGUUAACUGAUAAGGAUUAUAGACUAUAGACCAUAGACACGUAAGUGCUUAUAUUCACUUUGUUGUGAUAGCUUUGUUUAAAUAUAUUUAAUUGCUCUAAAUUAGUUA
Molecule: RNA transcript, 1708 nt
Organism: Vigna radiata var. radiata (mung bean)
Lineage: Eukaryota; Viridiplantae; Streptophyta; Magnoliopsida; Fabales; Fabaceae
Gene name: VAN3-binding protein
Exons: 8
Source: RefSeq, a predicted model, not a curated record